Molecule: ribosomal RNA, 515 nt
Filed under: uncultured fungus
Lineage: Eukaryota; Fungi
Description: eukaryotic LSU rRNA
Rfam family: 5.8S ribosomal RNA (bases 193-346)
Source: RNAcentral
UAGGUGAACCUGCGGAAGGAUCAUUACAGAGUUCAUGCCCUUCGGGGUAGACCUCCCACCCUUGAGUACUAUACUUUUGUUGCUUUGGCAGGCCGUCAGGUUUACGCCUGGCUACCGGCUCCGGCUGGUAAGUGUCUGCCAGAGGACCUAAACUCUGAAUUUUAUGUCGUCUGAGUACUAUAUAAUAGUUAAAACUUUCAACAACGGAUCUCUUGGUUCUGGCAUCGAUGAAGAACGCAGCGAAAUGCGAUAAGUAAUGUGAAUUGCAGAAUUCAGUGAAUCAUCGAAUCUUUGAACGCACAUUGCGCCCCUUGGUAUUCCGAGGGGCAUGCCCGUUCGAGCGUCAUCAACACCAUCAAGCCUGGCUUGGUAUUGGGCCUUGCCUGUAACACGGCCGGCUUUAAAAUCAGUGGCGGUGCCGCCUGGCUCUAAGCGUAGUAACUUUUCUCGCUAUUGUGCCCGGCGGUUGCUUGCCAACAACCCCUAAUUUAAUAGAUUUGACCUCGGAUCGGGUA